CUUGGAGCUAAAGGAGUUUCCUGCAUGGAGAGAUCCUGAAAACAAGUUGAAACCAAUGCACAGGAAAGCAGAGAGAUGGUGCAUGUCUUCGCCUCUGAAGCGCCUCCUAGUGCCGACGUCUUCUAGUGCGAUCACUCCGGACCAGACAAAAGGCAAGGUCAAGUACUGCUUUUGAGGAUGAGAGAUGAAGCUGUAGAAGAAGGGAUGCCUUUGAGAUUCUCAACAAAAUCAGUAUCAAGUGAGAUAUUAUGAAGUAUUACACAGUUGGAGGAAAUUGUGUUCUUGAAGAUAGUGUAAAAGAUCUGAAGUAAUAAAUUCAAUAGGGAUUUUAUAGUGAAUUUCA
RNAcentral lists this long non-coding RNA (343 nucleotides) under Neogale vison (American mink). RNAcentral describes it as "Neovison vison (American mink) lncRNA (ENSNVIG00000015852.1)". The record is from RNAcentral. Lineage: Eukaryota; Metazoa; Chordata; Mammalia; Carnivora; Mustelidae.